GACGAACGCUGGCGGCGUGCUUAACACAUGCAAGUCGAACGGAAAGGCCCUGCUUUUGUGUGGUGCUCGAGUGGCGAACGGGUGAGUAACACGUGAGUAACCUUCCCUUGACUUUGGGAUAACUUCAGGAAACUGGUGCUAAUACCGGAUAGGAGCUCCUGCUGCAUGGUGGUGGUUGGAAAGUUUCGGCGGUUGGGGAUGGACUCGCGGCUUAUCAGCUUGUUGGUGGGGUAGUUGCUUACCAAGGCUUUGACGGGUAGCCGGCCUGAGAGGGUGACCGGGCACAAUGGGACUGAGAUACGGCCCAGACUCCUACGGGAGGCAGCAGUGGGGAAUAUUGCACAAUGGGCGGAAGCCUGAUGCAGAAACGUCGCGUGCGGGAUGACGGCCUUCGGGUUGGAAACCGCUUUCGCCUGUGACGAAGCGUGAGUGACGGUAAUGGGUAAAGAAGCACCGGCUAACUACGUG
This 468-nucleotide ribosomal RNA is filed under the name uncultured bacterium. RNAcentral's name for it is "partial 16S ribosomal RNA". It matches the Rfam family "Bacterial small subunit ribosomal RNA", at positions 28 to 507 of the family's 1533-position model. The record is from RNAcentral.